RNAcentral lists this ribosomal RNA (253 nucleotides) under uncultured bacterium. RNAcentral describes it as "partial 16S ribosomal RNA". It matches the Rfam family "Bacterial small subunit ribosomal RNA", at positions 524 to 776 of the family's 1533-position model. The record is from RNAcentral.
UACGUAGGCAGCGAGCGUUGUUCGGAGUUACUGGGCGUAAAGGGUGUGUAGGCGGUUUUCUAAGUUUGGUGUGAAAUCUCCCGGCUCAACCGGGAGGGUGCGCCGAAAACUGGGAGACUAGAGUGCGGGAUGGGAGAGUAGAAUUCCUGGUGUAGCGGUGAAAUGCGUAGAUAUGUGGAGGAACACCAGUGGCGAAGGCGACUCUCUGGGCUGUAACUGACGCUGAGGCGCGAAAGCGUGGGGAGCGAACAGG